Small nucleolar RNA from Bubo bubo (Eurasian eagle-owl), 131 nucleotides. The record is from Ensembl. Lineage: Eukaryota; Metazoa; Chordata; Aves; Strigiformes; Strigidae.
AUCCAUGACUCCAUGGGGGCUGCCGUCCGUGGCUGUCUCCCUUCCUAGGCAUGGAAGAGCAGCUCCUUGCUGAUUGGCAUAACUUUUACCGUCUUGUGGGUAUUAGUCGUUGACUGUAGCAAGUAACAGGC